This 253-nucleotide ribosomal RNA is filed under the name uncultured bacterium. RNAcentral describes it as "partial 16S ribosomal RNA". It matches the Rfam family "Bacterial small subunit ribosomal RNA", at positions 524 to 776 of the family's 1533-position model. The record is from RNAcentral.
UACAGAGGUCUCAAGCGUUGUUCGGAUUCAUUGGGCGUAAAGGGUGCGUAGGCGGCGGGGCAAGUCUGAUGUGAAAUCCCGGGGCUCAACCCCGGAACUGCAUUGGAUACUGCCUUGCUUGAGUACUGGAGAGGGAACUGGAAUUUACGGUGUAGCAGUGAAAUGCGUAGAGAUCGUAAGGAAGGCCAGUGGCGAAGGCGAGUUCCUGGACAGUUACUGACGCUGAGGCACGAAGGCCAGGGGAGCAAACGGG